AUGAAGGACGUGCUAAUCUGCGAAAAGCGCCGGCGAGGUGAUAUGAACCUUUGACCCGGCGAUGUCCGAAUGGGGAAACCCAGUGUGAUUCGUCACACUAUCGUUAACUGAAUACAUAGGUUAACGAGGCGAACCGGGGGAACUGAAACAUCUAAGUACCCCGAGGAAAAGAAAUCAACCGAGAUUCCCCCAGUAGCGGCGAGCGAACGGGGAGGAGCCCAG
Molecule: non-coding RNA, 222 nt
Filed under: Pluralibacter gergoviae
Lineage: Bacteria; Pseudomonadati; Pseudomonadota; Gammaproteobacteria; Enterobacterales; Enterobacteriaceae
Description: Enterobacter gergoviae Bacterial large subunit ribosomal RNA
Rfam family: Bacterial large subunit ribosomal RNA
Source: Rfam by way of RNAcentral